Molecule: non-coding RNA, 2221 nt
Organism: Chlorocebus sabaeus (green monkey)
Lineage: Eukaryota; Metazoa; Chordata; Mammalia; Primates; Cercopithecidae
Source: RefSeq, a predicted model, not a curated record
AUGGCUACAAUUGCUGCUUGAAGUUAUGGCUCAUAACAAGCAGGAUGCCUCAUGAGAAAACGAUCAAAGUUCCUGCUUUGCAGCCAGGAACUAAACCAAGACCCACACAGCUUUCCUGACUGUAUGGAAAUAUCUCCAUGUCACAAUAGGUCAUUAGAAGACCUGGUUUGGAACGGAGGCCUAGUGGGCAGAGUGGGUGAGGAAGCACUGGAUGCAGAACCACUGGACAAUAAGAAAUAUGUUUCCAUUGGAUUUAACAACAAGGGGCUACUGAUGACCUUGACCUUAAUAGUUUCAUGGGAUUGCAGGUGCAAAUACCAGAAUAGAAUGAAAGGGUAGUUGAGGGUAAAAGGAGGAGUUAGGCACACUGAGUGUAGAUAUCUUUCUCAAGAAAUAGAGACUAUGCUUCUGCAGAGAGUCAGGUACAGGGAAGACUGAAGACGCUUUGGCAUGCCUAUAUACAAAUGGAAGGGUCCGGUAUAGAGGGAGUGGUGGAAAGGUUCAGAAGGUGGGCUGAAGUGGCAUAGAGUGAGGUGUGACAUAGCAAGGUCCUGAGAAGAGGCCUGUGGUGCUUUGGACUAAAGGAACUUGGAAAUGGAGUCUUUUAUUAAGAAUAAUACAGAGUAACACAGGUUGCAAACCACCCUCCCCCUUUACAGGAAAUUGCCAAAAUGUUGGAUACCAUGGAGACUGGGGUAAAUUGAGAUUUAGGCACAGAGAUCUGUGAGGAAUGAGAGCUCUGAGUGAACAUGGGGUGGUGGGUGAAAACCAGAAGAAGAGGAAAUGAAAGAUCAGAACUUGUAGCACUUAAGGCCAACCCAGAUGGAAUAGCUAAGGGCAGCAGAGGCCUGUGGCAGGAAGAACCUCCAUAUAUUCAUGAGUACAUAAAGCAAACUCCCGGGUUUCAAAGACAAGUUUUGUUGCUGGUGAGGAUGGAGGAAGGGGUUCUUAAGGGACUAGAUUUUCUUUGUGAACAAGUGGGACUUGGAACUAGUAAGAUUUGUAUAUUAAUGCUAGUGUGACAUUCAAGCUUUUGAUCAUGCUUGGGGUGCAUUUGAAGUACGUUUACUUAUAUACCUGUCUCCCUCUAUUAGACCGUAUGGUCCUGAAUGCAGAGACUAUAUCUUACUUGACGUGGUUGGUAAUACCUGUUGACUGAAAGACUGGUGUGAAGGAUGUUAGCAAAUACUUCUCAUUAGGUUUGUCAAGCCUUGAAGCAAUUAAUAUAAAAGACAAUGUGAAAAUCUGCAAAUAAACCUUAGCACUUGGAAUUAAGUCUUUGAAAGCUUUGUUUAGACUUUUGAAUAAAAGCUUAUUCUUAAAAUGUUUCUAGGAUCACAUUUUCAAUGUAAUAACGUCUGUUUUGUUAGCAUUAAAAUAAGAGAAUUUUCUUACACUGCCCUUUUAUUACUCUUAGGCCUUACCUGUAUGACCCUACUGGAUAUGAAUGAGAAAGAACAUAUUGAAAUUGAGAAAAGAAGAUUUACAUGAUGAAAUCAACUCUAAGGAAAGAAGUAGUCAGGAAACCUGUUGAAAGAAAAUGAAAGCAAUGUAUUUCAGCAAUUACUUAAAUCCUGCAAGAAGAUCAUGUUUGAUGGUCUUCCUAGUAUGCUCCUGCUGAGGUUCCUGGAGUAAAAGUCCAUAGUGUGAGUCUCCACACACUGUUCUUUCUGUCCGAGUGGAAGCUGCACAUCCGCCUUGUCCCCUGGCAGCUUCCAAUAAAAAUAUUUUUGAAUGAAAAGGUUGCUUCCCUUUCCUGUAUCAUUCUCCCAAUAAUACUAAGGCAGCGUGUAGAGCUGAAUGAAAACACUGGGCUCAGUAUCUAGGAAACCAGAAAUUUAGCCCUACUGCUGUCACCAUGAACUGUGAACCUCUGCGCCCUUGAGUAAGUCACUUUCUUUCACUCUACUUCAUUGUUCAAAUCAGUAAUGUGAGAGACUAGAUGAGAGUUCUUUAAGAUCUUGUGUCAAACUAGGAAACUAAUUUUGAUUCUGUUAUCCUAAAAAUCUAUUUUUAGAUACUAUUGUGGCAUUUUGGACUUCUAAGUGAUCUAUAUAAAGUACAUGUUGGAAGUCCCUGGAGUCCCCUGAAAUUAUGCUGGGAAUGACAGCUCGGUAAGAGAGCAGUAGACAGACCUUUUAGUCUGGGUCACCUUGAGGUUUCAGUGUGUUGACAAGUAUGCAGAAUGGCCACAUUUUAAGGGCUGUUUUCCAAUAUGGUA